RNAcentral lists this ribosomal RNA (497 nucleotides) under uncultured bacterium. Its description in RNAcentral is "partial 16S ribosomal RNA". It matches the Rfam family "Bacterial small subunit ribosomal RNA", at positions 28 to 507 of the family's 1533-position model. The record is from RNAcentral.
GAUGAACGCUGGCGGCGUGCCUAAUACAUGCAAGUCGAGCGAACAGAUGAGGAGCUUGCUCCUCUGACGUUAGCGGCGGACGGGUGAGUAACACGUGGAUAACCUACCUAUAAGACUGGGAUAACUUCGGGAAACCGGAGCUAAUACCGGAUAAUAUAUUGAACCGCAUGGUUCAAUAGUGAAAGACGGUUUUGCUGUCACUUAUAGAUGGAUCCGCGCCGCCUUAGCUAGUUGGUAAGGUAACGGCUUACCAAGGCAACGAUGCGUAGCCGACCUGAGAGGGUGAUCGGCCACACGGGAACUGAGACACGGUCCAGACUCCUACGGGAGGCAGCAGUAGGGAAUCUUCCGCAAGGGGCGAAAGCCUGACGGAGCAACGCCGCGUGAGUGAUGAAGGUCUUCGGAUCGUAAAACUCUGUUAUUAGGGAAGAACAAAUGUGUAAGUAACUAUGCACGUCUUGACGGUACCUAAUCAGAAAGCCACGGCUAACUACGUG